RNA transcript from Fragaria vesca subsp. vesca, 1677 nucleotides. It is a transcript of the gene named probable sucrose-phosphate synthase 2-like, with no coding region annotated. The transcript is spliced from 5 exons. The record is from RefSeq and is a predicted model, not a curated record. Lineage: Eukaryota; Viridiplantae; Streptophyta; Magnoliopsida; Rosales; Rosaceae.
AUGUCAAAUGUGAGUUUAGAGAUCAAUGCUACUGCAACUUGGUUUCAGUUUGGAGCUUUUUCACAUGGUCUUCCUCUGCCGCAUAGCAAUCUUUUGCCCGUCCCUGAACUCGAAGGAAACCAGUUGGCUGAGAAGGCAGUAAAAGCAAGAGCACUUAAUAAUGGUUUGCUUGUCAACCCUCAUGAUCAGCAAUCAAUUGCUAAUGCAUUGCUGAAGUUGUUAUCGGAAAAGAAUUUAUGGGUUGACUGUAGAAAGAAUGGAUGGAAAAACAUACACCUUUUCUCAUGGCCCGAACACUGCCGAACCUACUUGACUAGGGUAGCAGCCUGCGCAUGAGAUAUCCACAGUGGCAGACUGACACUCCGGAGGAUGAAAUGGCUGCUGAGGAGUCCUUCAAUGACUCUCUCAGGGACAUGCAAGAUAUGUCUCUUAGGCUCUCAGUUGAUGGGGACAAAUCCUCACUGAAUGAAUCUCUAGAUGUGACUACAACUUCUGGCGACCAUGAGGUGGAAGAUCAAGUGAAGCGUGUCCAAAGCAAGAUGAAGAAGUCAGAUUCUGGUCCAAAAGACCAUGAAGACAGAAAUAAGCUGCCGGAUAAUGUAUCCAGCAAGUAUCCUUUGUUAAGACAUAGAAGAAAAUUGUAGCACUUGAUUGCUAUGACCAAUCUGGAGCGUCUGAUAAGAAAAUUAUUCAAGUUGUGCAAGAAAUAUUUAAGGCUGUAAGACUAGAUUCUCAAAGCGCAAGAUUUACAGGGUUUGCUCUGCUGACGGCUAUGCCGGCUUCGGAGAUAGUAGAGUUUUUGGCAUCAGGGAAGAUUUAGGCAAAUGAGUUUGAUGCUUUGGUUUGUAGCAGUGGAAGCAAGGUUUACUACCCUGGUACUUAAACAGAAGAUGGAAGGCUUUUUCCAGAUCCAGAUUAUUCGUCACACAUUGACUACCGAUGGGGCUGUGAAGGAUUAAAGAAAACCAUUUGGAAGCUCUUAAAUGCCCCUGAUGGUGAACCAAAUUGAAGAAGAUUUGAAAUCAAGCAAUUCCCAUUGCAUUUCAUACUUAAUCAAGGAUCCUAGUAAGGCAAGGAAAGUUGAUGAUUUAAGGCAGAAACUCAGGACGCGCGGACUACGCUGCCAUCCAAUGUACUGCAGGAGCUCAACAAGAAUGCAAAUUGUUCCGCUCCUUGCUUCUCGAGCACAGGCUCUCAGGUAUCUUUUUGUACGCUGGAGAUUGAAUGUCGCAAACGUGUACGUGUUCCUUGGAGAAAGUGGGGACACCGAUUAUGAAGAAAUGAUUGCAGGGACUCACAAGACCAUAAUCAUGAAAGGGGUGGUGGGAAAGGGUUCUGAAGAGCUGCUAAACAUCAGGAAGCUAUGUGAGAGACGACAUUGUUCCUCCUCAGUGCCCAUUGGUCGCCAUUGUAAAUGGGCAAGCUCCAACAGCUGAUGAGAUUGCGACUGCUUUGAAGCAAGUCAGCAAAUCUGCUGCUGGAAUGUGAUUACGAUGUCGCUAGAACCUGAGUUAUGUACACUUUGAGAAGAAACAAAAUAAAGGCGGAGAAUCAAUGAAACCCAUCUAAACACGGCCUAGUACUAACUAAGAAUGCAGCUAGCCAACUGGUCCUCACAAGUCACAAGUAACCUGGUUGGUUGGUGAGAUAAUAUAUAGGAGAGCAUGCAAAGGAUAA